CUGUGCUAGGUGGGGAGCCAGCGGUGCCCUGUAACCCGCAAACCGCUACAGCGGGGCCGAAUCCCCACCGGAGGUUCUUUGGGAGCGGUCGUUGCUGUUCCGGUAAGCGGCGAUGAAGGCUGGGUCCCACGCAACGAAAGCUUGUGAACCCCGUCAGGUCCGGGAGGAAGCAGCGGUAAGCAAAAACUUCCGUGUGCCGUGGAGCAACCUGGUUGGAGCUGGCUGCCGGAGCGCGGCUCGGUUCCCGGAAUCGAUGGUGGGUGCACAG
This 268-nucleotide signal recognition particle RNA is filed under the name Candidatus Anoxymicrobium japonicum. RNAcentral's name for it is "Actinobacteria bacterium HGW-Actinobacteria-3 signal recognition particle sRNA large type". It matches the Rfam family "Bacterial large signal recognition particle RNA". From Rfam's summary of the family: The signal recognition particle (SRP) is a universally conserved ribonucleoprotein involved in the co-translational targeting of proteins to membranes. Archaeal SRP consists of a 7S RNA and homologues of the eukaryotic SRP19 and SRP54 proteins. In most bacteria, the SRP consists of a 4.5S RNA and the Ffh protein (a homologue of the eukaryotic SRP54 protein). Lineage: Bacteria; Bacillati; Actinomycetota; Candidatus Geothermincolia; Candidatus Geothermincolales; Candidatus Anoxymicrobiaceae. The record is from RNAcentral.